ACCAGUGGGUUUAUUCUCUGCAAUGUAGCAGAGGUACCAAAGGGGCAAAUCAGAGAGAAGGGUCGAAGUCCGUGAGCAGGGGUCCAAAGCCGAAAGAUCUGUCCUACACGUAACCACGGGACACGAGAACACAGGAGAAGGGGAACAGGAGAGGCUGGUCUCGGCAGGGAAGGUGGGUCAGGUUCGGGAGCGAGUCUGGGGAAAGGAAGAGGACAAGGCAAGGCCUCCUGGGGGAUCUGAACAAAGUCAAAUCCACAGCCCUCAGAGAUGAGUUGUCACAUCAUCAUGGAGGAGAGGAGAACACGCUGGCUUUCAUCUGCUUUCAGGAAGGUGUGAUGUUCCUGAGUACAGGGAAGUCAAGAGACAUAACCAAAGGGGGAGACAGGACCACAAGCUAGAAAAGCUGACAACGGACCUUUGUGGGCUAUUUCAUUCAACAGAGUCGACGCAUGAAUUUUCAUAAGAAGUGCUAUAUCAAGUCUUUAUGUGUAAAUAUAUAAAAUGGGUUCAGGUGAGGUCUGAUACUAAGGUUAUACAGAAGUAUGUUUUGUGUGUUGGAGUUAUUCAUAGAUCUGUUAUUCACUCAUAUAGUUAAUCAGGCGUUGUAAUUAAAAUGGAGAUAAUUACUGUGCCUAUUUAAAUUAUCCUGGAAAUUUUUACCUAUAUUUUUAUGUACUUUUCAAUGCUAAAGAAUAUGUUCCAACCUGGAACAAGUCCAGAGAGCAUGAACAUCUGAAGCACUUCCCACAGGUCCCCAGCCUCUGGAUCUUGUCACCUCUGAGGAAAUUUCCCAGCAGCUCUUAUGAAUCAGCAGCUUGGAGACUUCGACUGUAAAUGUGGCCCAGUUAAGCCAAUAAAAUGCAUUAAUUA
Molecule: long non-coding RNA, 870 nt
Organism: Brienomyrus brachyistius
Lineage: Eukaryota; Metazoa; Chordata; Actinopteri; Osteoglossiformes; Mormyridae
Exons: 4
Source: RefSeq, a predicted model, not a curated record